Non-coding RNA from Mycena alexandri, 80 nucleotides. The record is from the annotation of a GenBank genome assembly. Lineage: Eukaryota; Fungi; Basidiomycota; Agaricomycetes; Agaricales; Mycenaceae.
GCGCCCUUGGUGUAACGGUAACACACGCACUCUACUUCUCUCGAAACGAGUGGUCCCGGGUUCGACUCCCGGAGGGCGCC